GUGGGGAAUAUUGGACAAUGGGCGCAAGCCUGAUCCAGCCAUGCCGCGUGCAGGAAGACGCAUCUAUGGUGUGUAAACUGCUUUUGUACGGGAAGAAACACUCCCUCGUGAGGGAGCUUGACGGUACCGUAAGAAUAAGGAUCGGCUAACUCCGUGCCAGCAGCCGCGGUAAUACGGAGGAUCCAAGCGUUAUCCGGAAUCAUUGGGUUUAAAGGGUCCGUAGGCGGUUUAAUAAGUCAGUGGUGAAAGCCCAUCGCUCAACGAUGGAACGGCCAUUGAUACUGUUAGACUUGAAUUACAAGGAAGUAACUAGAAUAUGUAGUGUAGCGGUGAAAUGCUUAGAUAUUACAUGGAAUACCAAUUGCGAAGGCAGGUUACUACUUGUGGAUUGACGCUGAUGGACGAAAGCGUGGGGAGCGAACAGGAUUAGAAACCCCUGUAGUCC
This 445-nucleotide ribosomal RNA is filed under the name uncultured bacterium. Its description in RNAcentral is "partial 16S ribosomal RNA". It matches the Rfam family "Bacterial small subunit ribosomal RNA", at positions 354 to 796 of the family's 1533-position model. The record is from RNAcentral.